UGACAUAACAGUCCAAGUUGAAGGGGCAAGA
RNAcentral lists this non-coding RNA (31 nucleotides) under Rattus norvegicus (Norway rat). The record is from RNAcentral. Lineage: Eukaryota; Metazoa; Chordata; Mammalia; Rodentia; Muridae.